This is a long non-coding RNA of Patella vulgata (common limpet), 378 nucleotides long. RefSeq lists it as uncharacterized. The transcript has 2 exons. The record is from RefSeq and is a predicted model, not a curated record. Lineage: Eukaryota; Metazoa; Mollusca; Gastropoda; Patellidae.
UGAAACUUGUUGCUAAAGAUCUGCAAAUAUGGCUGGUGGACCGGUAGAUGAAUCCUUGUAUAAAUUUACUGGAAUUCAAAAGCAUUUUAAUUCCUACACAGUUAGAGGAAAAUUAGGGUGGGUUGGAGCAACUUACGGAACAUUAUUAGGAAUUUUUAUUUAUAAAAAAUUAACCAAGAAAUCAGAUAAAAAAUAGGCACCCAGAAUUUUCGAAUGUGAUAGCUGUGCAGACUCGAUAUGAACUUUAGAAAAUUUUGUUAAACUACUGUAUUAUUAUGAGAAGAAAUGUGUGAAAUGAAAAUCAGUAAAAAUAUUUUGUAUCUUCUGUAUUUUACUUCUCAUGAUGAUAAUGUUAUAGAAUAAACAUAAUUUCUUGCA